This 463-nucleotide ribosomal RNA is filed under the name uncultured bacterium. Its description in RNAcentral is "partial 16S ribosomal RNA". It matches the Rfam family "Bacterial small subunit ribosomal RNA", at positions 28 to 507 of the family's 1533-position model. The record is from RNAcentral.
GAUGAACGCUGACAGAAUGCUUAACACAUGCAAGUCUUUGGCGAAUCUGUGCUUGCACAGGCUAGCCAAGGCGGACGGGUGAGUAACGCGUAAAGAACUUGCCCUGCAGACAGGGAUAACAGACGGAAACGACUGAUAACACCUAAUACAGUUGCCGGCACGCAUGUGCCUGGCAAUGAAAAGAGAUGCUGCAGGAGAGCUUUGCGUCCUAUUAGCUUGUUGGUGAGGUGACGGCUCACCAAGGCGAUGAUAGGUAGCCGGCCUGAGAGGGUGAACGGCCACAAGGGGACUGAGAUACGGCCCUUACUCCUACGGGAGGCAGCAGUGGGGAAUAUUGGACAAUGGGGGCAACCCUGAUCCAGCAAUUCUGUGUGCACGAAGAAGGUUUUCGGAUUGUAAAGUGCUUUCAGCAGGGAAGAAGAAAGUGACGGUACCUGCAGAAGAAGCGACGGCUAAAUACGUG